This 408-nucleotide long non-coding RNA is filed under the name Citrus sinensis (sweet orange). RNAcentral's name for it is "long non-coding RNA (CSIN_LNC001504)". Lineage: Eukaryota; Viridiplantae; Streptophyta; Magnoliopsida; Sapindales; Rutaceae. The record is from RNAcentral.
CAAAUGAAUCACCAGUUGGAACCAAAUUCAAUGGGAAACCAGACAAGUCACCAGUUGCAAACAAAUUUGGCAGUAAGCCACGUGGAUUACCAGCUGCAGCCCCAUUCUCUUUGUGCAGAAGAUAUUAGCAGUCAGCAAUGGAUGCAUGAUCUCUCUGCAGAAGAUAUUAGCAGUCAACAAUGGAUGCAUGAUCUCUGUGCAGAAGAUAUUAGCAGUCAGCCUUGGAUGCAUGAUCAGCUAACUAAUUUCUUCACCCCGACAGAAUCGACUCAAGGGAUUUCUUGUCCCCCAAUCUCAGGUACAUUAUUCAAUGUACAUUGGUGAUGAUACCUUUGUUCUUCUACAACUGAGAGUUCUAUUUCACUGAGCCGUGUUUUUGUGUUGGACAAAUUUGCUGUCUCCGUAGCC